Molecule: small RNA, 2633 nt
Filed under: Pan troglodytes (chimpanzee)
Lineage: Eukaryota; Metazoa; Chordata; Mammalia; Primates; Hominidae
Description: retained intron
Source: RNAcentral
CUUUACAUUCUAUCUCUAACACCCAUCCCUGCUUUGCUCCCUGCAACACACAGCCUUUUCCUCAUUCCCCUCAGAGGACCCCACAGUGGCUGAGCUUCCUGUUCUGGAUAUGCCUGGCCGAGAGACCCUGGCCUGACACUGUCCUUCUGGGUUUCAACAUGAAUUUCCGGGAUGGGACCUAGAGCUUAGGGACCCACGUCUCCCUCCGUCUAGUGCCUUAGCCCCUCCUGGGUCAGGCAGCUUCACCAACCAGCUUCUAGGAGGAGAUGCUAUCCCUGGCUAUGGGACAUUCCUUGAGUCAUUCCUCUGUCCGCCCAGUUGACCAACAUCCACAUACACUGGUUGCUGAUGCUGUCUGCAGCAGGAGUUGGGCCUUCUCACAUGGAGCCCCAGGGUGCUGGGGAGGCCACCCCAUGGUGAUUCAGUGGCUGGCACAGACACGCUGGGUCUGCUCAGACACAGCCAGGGCAGUGUCAUUGUCUCCUGGGGAUCAGGAGAGGCCUGAUGGAGGAAGGGACCCUGGGGGACAAGGCCGGGGGAGGAUACUAUUUCCCUGUGGGCCUUAUUCUUCCAUUCAUUCACUCAACAAGUACAGGUCAGGCUCCCGGGACACGGCAGGCACUGAUGGUACUGGGGCACAGCGAUGAACAGAGAGAGAUUUGCUCACUGCCCUCAAUGAUUCAUAGGGCAGCCAGCCUCGCCAGGGUGUCUGUGCCACCCCCCGCCUCCUGCUUUCCCCUUGUCUGCCUGCUCUGUUCAUCCAUCCAUCCACCUGUCCAUCUGUCUGUCCACUUCUGCUGCGCUGACCCCAUCUAGUAACUCACAGUUGGUUUCUUAUGGAGUCUUGGCUCUCUCCAUCCCCCAAGCAGGGUUCAGUCCCUGAGGCAGUUGGGUUCUUGUUCCCAAGUUGAUCACCCACUCCUCCUGGUGGGGACAGGGGUGAGAGUCCAGUGAUCCUUCUGCCUAGAUCCCAGGAAAGGUCUAAGUUCAGAGGCCAGGGACUGGGGCUAGUUCAGAGGAAUGACAAUAGUGAAGACAGUGGCCUGGGCUGGGCACAGAAACCUGAGUCCUUUCCACUUAGUGUCUGGUCCCUUCAUGCCCUGUGCAUGCUCCACCUCCCAGCCCACUCUUGAGUAAUUUUACCCCCACCUUGCACCUGUCUCAGCCAUCAGAGGGAUUCAUGCUCUGACCUCCCUCCGCAUUAGGACUGCCAGGACAGAGCAGCAGUUGGCCCCACUCCAAGUCACUCUAACCCCCUUGCCUUGGGAACCUGUGCAGACCAGCUCUGGGCAAAGCCCCCUACCACCUGGCCCCACCCCCCUGCUUUCCUUCCCUCCCUCUCAGGGGGUCUCCCCAAUGGCUUCACUUAGUCUGGUCAUGAUGGUGGAGCUAUAAGAGACAUCAGCUGGGACUCCCUGAGAUUGGUGUGUGCCCCAGCUUAGGUCAACAGAGUCGUGCCUACUAAGCUCCUCCUGCUCCCAAAUCUGUCCCAUUCAAAGAGAGCCAGGUGCAUUACUGGGGACACCUGAGACAGAACUAACCAACCCUAGUCCUGGGCCAGGGCUGCUGACUGACGGCUCUGGAGGUAAGAGGGAGGCCAGGGAGCCCUGGCCGAGAGUCAGUAGGCUCUGAUUCAAGCCCCAACUCUGCCCUCUCUGGGCCUAUUUCCCCAUUGUACAGUGGGACAAGAGUCCUGCUGGUCUCUUGGGCCACAUCCAGAGAGGCUCUGGAAGUAGGCAGGGUCUCUGCUCCAAGGGAGGGCUGAGGAGAGACCUGAUGCCCACGGGGCCAUCUCUGCAGGUGGCGCCUGGGUGGCAUACGGAGCUACAACCCUGAGCAGAUCAUGCUGAGUGCUGCGGUGCGCCGGACCAGCCGGGACGUCAGCAUCAUGAAGGAGAAGCUUAUUUUCUCAGCAGAGAUCAGCGAUGGUGUAGAGGUCUCCGAUGUGCUCUCCGUAUGUUCAGACAACAGUUAUGACACAUAUGCCAACAGCACCGCCACCCCUGUGGGCCCCCGAGGGGGUGGCAGCCGCACCAAGACCCUCAUAGAGCGGAGUGGGCGUUAGCUGAAGACAUGUCUGUCCCACCUGUACCUGACACAGAAGCUGGGGAGCCUAGGAGAGCUGGUGGAAGUGUGUCUGAACUCGGAGUGCUCUGGGAGCGGGCUCCACAGCCUCCUUGUGGGCUCCAGCCCCUUGUCAGCCGCAGCCGCUCUUGAGGGGGACUCCCUGUCCCCUGAGGCCCAGCUGGGCCAGGACUCCAUCCUUUCAGAUGCCCCUGCAGGCCUGGGGCUCCUUCUGGGAAGUAUGGGGCCUAGGGCUUGGUCCCCCUCUUCUGAGGCCCUCUCCUGUAUCCCGACCUGGAAGCUUUGAUGGGUCAUGGGCCAUGCCAUACCCCCUGUGGCAAUGGAGUGUGCGGAUGCUCACCUGUGCCAUCUGUCCUCCUGUCUGUGCCACGAGGCACCUGAGUUCUCUGCUGUUAUCCUGCCCCAAGGGCCUGGGCCGAGCCUCUACCUGAAGCAACUCUGCUCUUCCUGUCAGUCUCAAAGCACAAGGAGGUUCAGCCCAGGAGGAAGCCAGCUGCAAUGUGGAGACACGUCCUCCUCCCCAACCCACCUCAUGCCACCGCCAACCC